Molecule: ribosomal RNA, 1343 nt
Filed under: uncultured bacterium
Lineage: Bacteria
Description: partial 16S ribosomal RNA
Rfam family: Bacterial small subunit ribosomal RNA
Source: RNAcentral
GACGAACGCUGGCGGCGUGCUUAACACAUGCAAGUCGAACGGAAAGGCCUGCAGCUUGCUGCGGGUACUCGAGUGGCGAACGGGUGAGUAACACGUGGGUGAUCUGCCUUGCACUUCGGGAUAAGCUUGGGAAACUGGGUCUAAUACCGGAUAGGACAGCUGUUUAGUGUCAGUUGUGGAAAGUUUUUUCGGUGCAAGAUGAGCUCGCGGCCUAUCAGCUUGUUGGUGGGGUAAUGGCCUACCAAGGCGUCGACGGGUAGCCGGCCUGAGAGGGUGUACGGCCACAUUGGGACUGAGAUACGGCCCAGACUCCUACGGGAGGCAGCAGUGGGGAAUAUUGCACAAUGGGCGGAAGCCUGAUGCAGCGACGCCGCGUGGGGGAUGAAGGCCUUCGGGUUGUAAACUCCUUUCGACAGGGACGAAGCUUUUGUGACGGUACCUGUAUAAGAAGCACCGGCUAACUACGUGCCAGCAGCCGCGGUAAUACGUAGGGUGCGAGCGUUGUCCGGAAUUACUGGGCGUAAAGAGCUCGUAGGUGGUUUGUCGCGUCGUCUGUGAAAUUCCGGGGCUUAACUCCGGGCGUGCAGGCGAUACGGGCUGACUUGAGUGCUGUAGGGGAGACUGGAAUUCCUGGUGUAGCGGUGAAAUGCGCAGAUAUCAGGAGGAACACCGAUGGCGAAGGCAGGUCUCUGGGCAGUAACUGACGCUGAGGAGCGAAAGCAUGGGUAGCGAACAGGAUUAGAUACCCUGGUAGUCCAUGCCGUAGACGGUGGGCGCUAGGUGUAGGGGGCUUCCACGUCUUCUGUGCCGUAGCUAACGCAUUAAGCGCCCCGCCUGGGGAGUACGGCCGCAAGGCUAAAACUCAAAGGAAUUGACGGGGGCCCGCACAAGCGGCGGAGCAUGUGGUUUAAUUCGAAGCAACGCGAAGAACCUUACCAAAUCUUGACAUCCUUUGACAACUCUAGAGAUAGAGCUUUCCCCUUCGGGGGACAAAGUGACAGGUGGUGCAUGGUUGUCGUCAGCUCGUGUCGUGAGAUGUUGGGUUAAGUCCCGCAACGAGCGCAACCCUUAAGCUUAGUUGCCAUCAUUAAGUUGGGCACUCUAAGUUGACUGCCGGUGACAAACCGGAGGAAGGUGGGGAUGACGUCAAAUCAUCAUGCCCCUUAUGAUUUGGGCUACACACGUGCUACAAUGGACAAUACAAAGGGCAGCGAAACCGUGAGGUCAAGCAAAUCCCAUAAAGUUGUUCUCAGUUCGGAUUGUAGUCUGCAACUCGACUACAUGAAGCUGGAAUCGCUAGUAAUCGUAGAUCAGCAUGCUACGGUGAAUACGUUCCCGGGUCU